This 497-nucleotide ribosomal RNA is filed under the name uncultured bacterium. Its description in RNAcentral is "partial 16S ribosomal RNA". It matches the Rfam family "Bacterial small subunit ribosomal RNA", at positions 28 to 523 of the family's 1533-position model. The record is from RNAcentral.
GAUGAACGCUAGCUACAGGCUUAACACAUGCAAGUCGAGGGGUAGCAGGGUAGCAAUACCGCUGACGACCGGCGCACGGGUGAGUAACACGUAUCCAGCCUUCCCAUAACUCGGGGAUAGCCUUUCGAAAGAAAGAUUAAUACCCGAUAGUACUUUUUCAAGGCAUCUUGAGAAAGUUAAAGAUUUAUUGGUUAUGGAUGGGGAUGCGUUCCAUUAGAUAGUUGGUGAGGUAACGGCUCACCAAGUCUUCGAUGGAUAGGGGUUCUGAGAGGAAGGCCCCCACAUUGGUACUGAGACAUGGACCAAACUCCUACGGGAGGCAGCAGUGAGGAAUAUUGGUCAAUGGGCGAGAGCCUGAACCAGCCAAGUAGCGUGAAGGAUGAAGGUCCUAUGGAUUGUAAACUUCUUUUAUAGUAGAAUAAAGUGAUCCACGUGUGGAUUUUUGUAUGUAUACUAUGAAUAAGGAUCGGCUAACUCCGUGCCAGCAGCCGCAGUAA